UACGUAGGGUGCAAGCGUUAAUCGGACUUACUGGGCGUAAAGCGUGCGCAGGCGGUUUUGUAAGUCUGACGUGAAAUCCCCGGGCUCAACCUGGGAAUUGCGUUGGAGACUGCAAGGCUAGAAUCUGGCAGAGGGGGGUAGAAUUCCACGUGUAGCAGUGAAAUGCGUAGAGAUGUGGAGGAACACCGAUGGCGAAGGCAGCCCCCUGGGUCAAGAUUGACGCUCAUGCACGAAAGCGUGGGGAGCAAACAGG
RNAcentral lists this ribosomal RNA (253 nucleotides) under uncultured bacterium. RNAcentral's name for it is "partial 16S ribosomal RNA". It matches the Rfam family "Bacterial small subunit ribosomal RNA", at positions 524 to 776 of the family's 1533-position model. The record is from RNAcentral.